RNAcentral lists this long non-coding RNA (4067 nucleotides) under Taeniopygia guttata (zebra finch). RNAcentral describes it as "lncRNA (ENSTGUG00000028616.1)". The record is from RNAcentral. Lineage: Eukaryota; Metazoa; Chordata; Aves; Passeriformes; Estrildidae.
GGUUGUUCCACCCUGGUCCCGCCUUCAUACCUCCCUUGAUCCCUUCACCUAUUGGCCCUCAGGUUAUGAAACCCCACCUACACUGGACUGUUUAAAAACCCUGGACCCUCCCCUGCUUGGGGCUCUUCUCCUGUCCCUGAGCCCUUCAGUGUGCUUGUUGUUAAAACAUCACUAGAACUUCAUACAGAGAGCCUCUCCUGCCUUUCUCUGCCAGCCUGCAAUCUACAGCUGGCAGCGCAAGCGUGCUUGUCUGGGCUAUCCACCUUCUCUGCGGGAGCCGCUCUCGGGAAGGUGGCUGUCCCGGCAACAUCUGCGGCGCAGACACAAGGAAUAGGUCACAUCUUCCCUUCCACUCGCAACUGAGGUAUCAGACUACUGCAGGUAACCAUUUCCAGUGGCUGAGUUUGACUGGAGCCAUCCAGAGAAACACGAGACAGCUUUUACAGUCCCGGCCUGUUCUCCCUGUGCUGCACUGCAGCAGAACUCCACCUGCUCCAUCCACCUUCAGAAGCAUUUACAUGCCCUAUGCAGAAAUGGAGACAUGCUAUCCCACCUCCAUUGCAAACUUUUCUUCUGCAUGAGGCACUGCUGGGGAAUUAAUAUCCUGACUUGGAUAUGCCAGUAUAUAUACAAUAUGAUUUAUUAGAGCAAUGAUUCAUUGAAAAGCACCUUGAACCCAUCAGAGAGACAGCGCCUUCUGUAACAGGUUUGACCUCACAAAUAAAUCACUCACUGCUGUAUUUGGAUAGAUGUGUGUGACGUGUCACACUAACAAAUAUACCCACUGGUUACAGAAUUUAAAACACCAAGUUUAACAAACCCACCAAAAGUCUAAAAAAUCCACACACAGAUGUCUCUGUGGCAGAACAGAGCACAGGAAAGUCCUUACUGUUCAUGCAGAGCUGUCAUCCCAUCACUGCCAGCUUAGGAAGAGACGAACUUAACAGACGGCUUAUUCUCAAAUGUAGGAUGUUUCAUCUCACCAAAAAUAAGCAUCUCCAGCACCUCCAUUCUCACCAAAAAAUUCUAACUAAGGUCAACUAGCCUGCAUGGUUUCAAGCACAAACUCACUGAUCUAGGUCUCACAACCCCUUUGAAUUCAGCCCAGAAUGAAAAAUAAGACUGAAGAAAACAAUCUCUAAAAUUUUCAACAAAUGGCAUUCAAUCUCAAGGAGAAAGAGGAGUAAUUUUUCCUCCAUUGGUAAACAUUCUCUCUUAGCUGUACAGUAACCAAACUACUUUUCCAUGUUUGGAGGCUGCAUGUCUAAAGGUGAAUUUGUUGUAUAUUAUGCCAUUUAAGCCAGCAUCUUCAAGAGCAAUAAAUUCACAUACAAAUUAUUUUUGUCAUUUUGCCACAACUGCACUAUCAGCCCCAUAGUGCAUCUGAAUUUUCUCUGACCAUAACCAACACUGAAUGCCUCACAAGUGAAACAGAAAUGCCCUGAAGUAAAGCAUCUGUUACUUUUAUAGUGAUUUGUAAAGUCACAAAUGUAGAUUUGUCACAAACCAAAUCUGGUUAAGGGUUGCUUCUAUCUGAUAAUUAUUGCAGUCCAACUCACUGCUAUCCUGAAUCCUGCUUGGCCAGGAUGAAUCCUGCAUGGCAUAAACUAGAGGAACGGGUACAAUGAACUUGCAAAAAAAUAAAGAAUCUUUAAUAGCGAAAUAAAAAAUGGAAAAACCUAAUUAUCUGAGGAGCAAGAGCCAAAGACCUGUGGGCACACCAAAUGCACCCAGGUACAGAGGUAUCUGAAGGCAAGUGUCCAGUCACGAACUCGGAACAUGACCUUAUUUGUAACAGGUUGCAAACUAAAAACAAAAACCAGAAACAUGACCUAAUCUAGAAUAGUUCCAUUAACAUUGACUCCCAUGACCACACUCUUCUCACCAUGACCCGACUAGGUGCCCUGCCUUCAGUAUUCUGUUUUCCAUGGCCUGAGGUUGAUGCCCUCUGUAAAUGCUACAGAGGAAAAAGUCCCAGCUGGACACGAUUCCAUAGAUAAUCUCACCUGUUACACUACCUUGUUACACAUACAGGCUGACAUAAAUCUUGUCAUGGAAAAAAACUGAUAACAUUCAAUUUAACAUUUUAAGAGAUUUCAGAUAAGGACUCUGGUAUUACUUCACCAUUCUUAUUCUUAGGAAGUGUUUAUCUUCAGAUCCCUACAAAGUAGGAAACCAUUCCAAAUAUCUCUUUGCAUCGUACUUUAAUUUUUGCUGUCUUUGCAGCCAUUCCUCCAAAUAUUUGGGUUUCAUCUCUAAGCUUGUUCAAACUGUAACAGACUUUUCCCUGUAUUGGCAGCGGUUUUCCCUCAGAGGGUUUAAGGUUCCUUUAGAAUACAAAGCACGCCAAACAUUUUCAUUCACCAAUACACAGCUAUGUUUUGAGAGGCAUUUAUCAAACAAGGUCAGAGUUUUGCCACAGCCAUGACAGACCCCACUACACUGAUCACUCUGCAGAGAUCCCAAGUGAGUGCACUGCUCCCAAAGCCCCAUUCUGAGGGUGCACUAUCACAGCAGUCACUCACUCACACAAACCCAGGGCAGCAUUUGUUAAAUUCUGCUUGAGGAAUAGCGGCAGACCUGCCCUGUAUUGGAUAAGUGACUCUUCACUGCUAUCAUCAAACCCAAAAGCGAGAGUGUUCUGCUACACAAGUGCUUUUUUCACCUAACCACCCUGUGGUGUUUGCUGAUGAGCAGGAGAAUUUCUUCCCACCUCAAGAAAGAAUUUCAAGUCAUGUCAGCUACAAGGCCAUUGACUCAGCUCUAGAGGUGAGGCCACUGCAAGUACCCCAUUCUCCUUUAGGUCUGGAGCAAAACCAAAGUAAAACACUGAGAAGACAUGAACUAGGAUUUUUAGGAAUCUACAUUUUUUGCUUUCUAACACAUUUGAGAUGUCUAAAUAUCAUUUCCCUGUGGACUGUGGAUUUGACUACACAGCUAUCCAAGUGUUAAACAAUUUCAUUUGCAAUUGGAUGCUGGUCUGUGAUUUUAUUUUAUCUUUUACUGAUGGGGCCCUCAACAGGCAAAGUCAAUUUAGCGAUUUUGUGAAGCAAACAAUAACUUGCAAGAGAUGAAUUCAAUUCAUGGUCCAGUUGAAGUGUUGGGUUUUCCCUGGUGAUCUCUCCACAUGUUUAAUGUGGUUGUGCUGUACUUGGGAAUAUUUCCACUCUUUCACAGCCUUCUUUGUUGAGAAUACCAUUGGUUAGCACCAUUAGUUCCCAGUGAUUUAUUUACUUUAUGUUUAUUUAACAAGAUGUGCUCUUUACGCACUUGUGUGGUGUUACAGCCCUGACUUGCUGCACACUCACAGCUUCAUCUCUGGUUUUGUUGAGAUUGUGAUCACAGGCACAUGGGUAACAAAGAUGGUGGACACUGAAGAUCUUAAUUACAGAGCCUGUUUUCCCCUGUUUUUUUCUUCAGGAGAACUAAUAAUAAUUUAUAACACAGACAGCUGGGGUUUUUUUAUGUUACCACAUAACUGUUAUGUUGUCACUGCAUUCAGUAAAACACAUCUAGUGAAAAUGCUUUCCGUUGAUGAGUUCAGGAGAUAAUGCUUGUUCUGUGUUAGCUGGAAAAUUACUGACAUUCACUGCAUGAGGAAUGCUGUUUCCUGAGUGCAUACUUCACCUUUUAAAGGGCUUACUGCAAGCUUGGCUGUAGGCUGUACCAUUACACACAGCUUUUGUCUUUCAUCAACAACAAUGGCAAUCAUCAACACUGCUCUGCAACUCCAGAGAUACUUCAGCUGCUCAUGGCCUCCAAGUGGUGAGAACAACCAGCAGUUUCUUGUUCCCGAGUUAUUCUGUGUUUUUCAUAGCUGGCUCUCUUUGUUCUCAGGAUGCUAUCAAAACAAGUAAAAUGCCCCAUCCAGGACUAAAAUGAAAAUGCACUCAGAAAUAUGUGGGAAAGGAAGAUUUUUAUGAAGACAUUCUUAUCUUUAAUGAAAAAUAGACAAAGCUCUAUUUGUCAUUUCUGUCUCUGUUUUAAUAUGCAUAUAUUGUCAACUGUUAGCAUAUCACAGCCAGCUACACUAUUUUGCAUUAAUAACUAACAAUGACAGUUACAAA